Molecule: ribosomal RNA, 292 nt
Filed under: uncultured bacterium
Lineage: Bacteria
Description: partial 16S ribosomal RNA
Rfam family: Bacterial small subunit ribosomal RNA
Source: RNAcentral
GUGCCAGCAGCCGCGGUAAUACGAAGGGGGCUAGCGUUGCUCGGAAUCACUGGGCGUAAAGCGCACGUAGGCGGGUUGUUAAGUCAGGGGUGAAAUCCUGGAGCUCAACUCCAGAACUGCCUUUGAUACUGGCAACCUAGAGACUUGAAGAGGUUAGUGGAAUUCCCAGUGUAGAGGUGAAAUUCGUAGAUAUUGGGAAGAACACCAGUGGCGAAGGCGGCUAACUGGUCCAGCACUGACGCUGAGGUGCGAAAGCGUGGGGAGCAAACAGGAUUAGAAACCCUCGUAGUCC